This 370-nucleotide ribosomal RNA is filed under the name uncultured bacterium. Its description in RNAcentral is "bacterial SSU rRNA". It matches the Rfam family "Bacterial small subunit ribosomal RNA", at positions 28 to 416 of the family's 1533-position model. The record is from RNAcentral.
GAUAAACGCUGGCGGCGUGCCUUAUGCAUGCAAGUCGUACGUGAGACCGGCUUCGGCCGGUUGAAAGUGGCGAACGGGUGAGUAACACGUAGGAACCUGCCCGGAAGUGGGGGAUAACUCCGCGAAAGCGGGGCUAAUACCGCAUGUGGUCGCAAGACCAAAGCUUCGGCGCUUCCGGAGGGGCCUGCGGCGGAUUAGCUAGUUGGUGGGGUAACGGCCUACCAAGGCGACGAUCCGUAGCUGGUCUGAGAGGAUGGUCAGCCACACUGGAACUGAGACACGGUCCAGACUCCUACGGGAGGCAGCAGCAAGGAAUUUUGCGCAAUGGGCGAAAGCCUGACGCAGCAACGCCGCGUGGGGGAUGAAGGCC